Molecule: long non-coding RNA, 358 nt
Filed under: Hordeum vulgare
Lineage: Eukaryota; Viridiplantae; Streptophyta; Magnoliopsida; Poales; Poaceae
Description: long non-coding RNA (HVUL_LNC012858)
Source: RNAcentral
CUAGAUCGAUGUCCUAGUCACCGCGCCGUCGACAAACCUACCAACAUCUCAUCUGCUGCGCAUCUCCACUUUUGCUCGCCUGCUUCUUUCUCAAGCGAUGCACCAAAGUCCAAAAUAGAGCUCCUAAUGCAUCACCACUGAUUUGGUUCAGACAAUUUAUACCUGCAAGGCUGCAUCGUCGUUAGAGUAUACCCUAGAAUCGAGCACGUAGAGUAGGAAAACCUGGAGCUAGAGUAGAUUAGUGACUCUGGUCGCGUCAGCAGUGAGUGUGUGUUUAUUUUAUCCAUUAUAAUUUAAUAAUCACGUGAGGCCGGCUAACACCGUCGUCGUACGUUCCGGCCUUGUGUUCCUGAUGGAC